GGCGAACGCUGGCGGCGUGCUUAACACAUGCAAGUGGAGCGACGAACCAGGGCUUGCCCUGGGGCAGAGCCGCGAACGGGUGAGUAACACGCGGGUAACGUGCCCCGAUGACUGGGACAACCCGGGGAAACCCGGGCUAAUACCGGAUGUGCCCCCUCACAUCAGUGAGGUGUGUAAAGGAAGCUUCGGCCUCCGCAUCGGGAUCGGCCCGCGGCCCAUUAGCUUGUUGGUGAGGUAACGGCUCACCAAGGCUGCGAUGGGUAGCUGGUCUGAGAGGACGAUCAGCCACACUGGGACUGAGACACGGCCCAGACUCCUACGGGAGGCAGCAGUGGGGAAUCUUGCGCAAUGCGCGAAAGCGUGACGCAGCAACGCCGCGUGGGGGAAGACGGCCUUCGGGUUGUAAACCCCUUUCAGUUGGGACGAAGGUCGGGCGGUUAACAGCCGUUCCGGCUGACGGUACCUUCACAAGAAGCCCCGGCUAACUACGUG
RNAcentral lists this ribosomal RNA (492 nucleotides) under uncultured bacterium. RNAcentral's name for it is "partial 16S ribosomal RNA". It matches the Rfam family "Bacterial small subunit ribosomal RNA", at positions 28 to 507 of the family's 1533-position model. The record is from RNAcentral.